UACGAAGGGGGCUAGCGUUGUUCGGAAUUACUGGGCGGAAAGCGCACGUAGGCGGACAUUUAAGUCAGGGGUGAAAUCCCAGAGCUCAACUCUGGAACUGCCUUUGAUACUGGGUGUCUUGAGUAUGGAAGAGGUGAGUGGAAUUCCGAGUGUAGAGGUGAAAUUCGUAGAUAUUCGGAGGAACACCAGUGGCGAAGGCGGCUCACUGGUCCAUUACUGACGCUGAGGUGCGAAAGCGUGGGGAGCAAACAGG
RNAcentral lists this ribosomal RNA (253 nucleotides) under uncultured bacterium. RNAcentral describes it as "partial 16S ribosomal RNA". It matches the Rfam family "Bacterial small subunit ribosomal RNA", at positions 524 to 776 of the family's 1533-position model. The record is from RNAcentral.